ACUAAGCGUACACGGUGGAUGCCCUGGCAGUCAGAGGCGAUGAAGGACGUGCUAAUCUGCGAUAAGCGUCGGUAAGGUGAUAUGAACCGUUAUAACCGGCGAUUUCCGAAUGGGGAAACCCAGUGUGAUUCGUCACACUAUCAUUAACUGAAUCCAUAGGUUAAUGAGGCGAACCGGGGGAACUGAAACAUCUAAGUACCCCGAGGAAAAGAAAUCAACCGAGAUUCCCCCAGUAGCGGCGAGCGAACGGGGAGCAGCCCAGAGCCUGAAUCAGUGUGUGUGUUAGUGGAAGCGUCUGGAAAGGCGCGCGAUACAGGGUGACAGCCCCGUACACAAAAAUGCACAUACUGUGAGCUCGAUGAGUAGGGCGGGACACGUGGUAUCCUGUCUGAAUAUGGGGGGACCAUCCUCCAAGGCUAAAUACUCCUGACUGACCGAUAGUGAACCAGUACCGUGAGGGAAAGGCGAAAAGAACCCCGGCGAGGGGAGUGAAAAAGAACCUGAAACCGUGUACGUACAAGCAGUGGGAGCACGCUUAGGCGUGUGACUGCGUACCUUUUGUAUAAUGGGUCAGCGACUUAUAUUCUGUAGCAAGGUUAACCGAAUAGGGGAGCCGAAGGGAAACCGAGUCUUAACUGGGCGUUAAGUUGCAGGGUAUAGACCCGAAACCCGGUGAUCUAGCCAUGGGCAGGUUGAAGGUUGGGUAACACUAACUGGAGGACCGAACCGACUAAUGUUGAAAAAUUAGCGGAUGACUUGUGGCUGGGGGUGAAAGGCCAAUCAAACCGGGAGAUAGCUGGUUCUCCCCGAAAGCUAUUUAGGUAGCGCCUCGUGAAUUCAUCUCCGGGGGUAGAGCACUGUUUCGGCAAGGGGGUCAUCCCGACUUACCAACCCGAUGCAAACUGCGAAUACCGGAGAAUGUUAUCACGGGAGACACACGGCGGGUGCUAACGUCCGUCGUGAAGAGGGAAACAACCCAGACCGCCAGCUAAGGUCCCAAAGUCAUGGUUAAGUGGGAAACGAUGUGGGAAGGCCCAGACAGCCAGGAUGUUGGCUUAGAAGCAGCCAUCAUUUAAAGAAAGCGUAAUAGCUCACUGGUCGAGUCGGCCUGCGCGGAAGAUGUAACGGGGCUAAACCAUGCACCGAAGCUGCGGCAGCGACACUAUGUGUUGUUGGGUAGGGGAGCGUUCUGUAAGCCUGUGAAGGUGUACUGUGAGGUAUGCUGGAGGUAUCAGAAGUGCGAAUGCUGACAUAAGUAACGAUAAAGCGGGUGAAAAGCCCGCUCGCCGGAAGACCAAGGGUUCCUGUCCAACGUUAAUCGGGGCAGGGUGAGUCGACCCCUAAGGCGAGGCCGAAAGGCGUAGUCGAUGGGAAACAGGUUAAUAUUCCUGUACUUGGUGUUACUGCGAAGGGGGGACGGAGAAGGCUAUGUUGGCCGGGCGACGGUUGUCCCGGUUUAAGCGUGUAGGCUGGUUUUCCAGGCAAAUCCGGAAAAUCAAGGCUGAGGCGUGAUGACGAGGCACUACGGUGCUGAAGCAACAAAUGCCCUGCUUCCAGGAAAAGCCUCUAAGCAUCAGGUAACAUCAAAUCGUACCCCAAACCGACACAGGUGGUCAGGUAGAGAAUACCAAGGCGCUUGAGAGAACUCGGGUGAAGGAACUAGGCAAAAUGGUGCCGUAACUUCGGGAGAAGGCACGCUGAUAUGUAGGUGAAGCGACUUGCUCGUGGAGCUGAAAUCAGUCGAAGAUACCAGCUGGCUGCAACUGUUUAUUAAAAACACAGCACUGUGCAAACACGAAAGUGGAAGUAUACGGUGUGACGCCUGCCCGGUGCCGGAAGGUUAAUUGAUGGGGUUAGCGCAAGCGAAGCUCUUGAUCGAAGCCCCGGUAAACGGCGGCCGUAACUAUAACGGUCCUAAGGUAGCGAAAUUCCUUGUCGGGUAAGUUCCGACCUGCACGAAUGGCGUAAUGAUGGCCAGGCUGUCUCCACCCGAGACUCAGUGAAAUUGAACUCGCUGUGAAGAUGCAGUGUACCCGCGGCAAGACGGAAAGACCCCGUGAACCUUUACUAUAGCUUGACACUGAACAUUGAGCCUUGAUGUGUAGGAUAGGUGGGAGGCUUUGAAGUGUGGACGCCAGUCUGCAUGGAGCCGACCUUGAAAUACCACCCUUUAAUGUUUGAUGUUCUAACGUUGACCCGUGAUCCGGGUUGCGGACAGUGUCUGGUGGGUAGUUUGACUGGGGCGGUCUCCUCCUAAAGAGUAACGGAGGAGCACGAAGGUUGGCUAAUCCUGGUCGGACAUCAGGAGGUUAGUGCAAUGGCAUAAGCCAGCUUGACUGCGAGCGUGACGGCGCGAGCAGGUGCGAAAGCAGGUCAUAGUGAUCCGGUGGUUCUGAAUGGAAGGGCCAUCGCUCAACGGAUAAAAGGUACUCCGGGGAUAACAGGCUGAUACCGCCCAAGAGUUCAUAUCGACGGCGGUGUUUGGCACCUCGAUGUCGGCUCAUCACAUCCUGGGGCUGAAGUAGGUCCCAAGGGUAUGGCUGUUCGCCAUUUAAAGUGGUACGCGAGCUGGGUUUAGAACGUCGUGAGACAGUUCGGUCCCUAUCUGCCGUGGGCGCUGGAGAACUGAGGGGGGCUGCUCCUAGUACGAGAGGACCGGAGUGGACGCAUCACUGGUGUUCGGGUUGUCAUGCCAAUGGCACUGCCCGGUAGCUAAAUGCGGAAGAGAUAAGUGCUGAAAGCAUCUAAGCACGAAACUUGCCCCGAGAUGAGUUCUCCCUGACUCCUUGAGAGUCCUGAAGGAACGUUGAAGACGACGACGUUGAUAGGCCGGGUGUGUAAGCGCAGCGAUGCGUUGAGCUAACCGGUACUAAUGAACCGUGAGGCUUAACC
RNAcentral lists this ribosomal RNA (2892 nucleotides) under Escherichia coli. Its description in RNAcentral is "bacterial LSU rRNA". It matches the Rfam family "Bacterial large subunit ribosomal RNA". Lineage: Bacteria; Pseudomonadati; Pseudomonadota; Gammaproteobacteria; Enterobacterales; Enterobacteriaceae. The record is from RNAcentral.